CAUAUAUUGAAAUAUAAUUAUAUAUGUUUUACAAAAAAAUGAAUGAAAAAAGAAAAAAAAUUACAAGAAUCCAAUUUAAUUUUUCAUAGAAAAUAGAGAUAAAUAAUAAGAGAGAGAAAGAAAGAUAAAUGUAAUAUAAUCAAUAGAAAAAAAUAUGUUCAUAGAAGGUUAAAGGAAAGAGAGAUUGAAAAAUAAAAUACCUCAAAAUCUCGUGAUUAAUGUGAAACAAAUUUUAAGAUUUUAUGUGAGUACUUCUGCUUAAAGGUUAAUACUCUAGAGACUUUUAUAAAAGUCCCUAGAAGUCAUUAAAAUUUGAAUACCCCAAGACUUAUAGAGAUUUCUAAAAAAUUUUAAUUGAAUAUACCGUAACAGUUUUUAAAAGUCUAUAAAAGCCUCAAUUGAAUACCUCUAAACUUACAAGGUUUUUUUUUUUUUGUCAUGCUACUUUAAACCAUUUUGUUAAAAUAAUUAGAAUUAAUUUGAGUAGUCCGUGAUCUUUUAUACCAGGCAAAACUAAAGUAAGCGAAAGUAGGCUAUGAAUUAUUGAAUAAAUGAUGUAAAACACUAAUAGGAAAAAACAAGAGGCUACAAAAAUGACACAAAAACAACAAUUGAAGUUCUCAUCCUUAGAACUUUAAACUAAUGUAAUCGGGUGCCUAACACGAACAACUUUAAUCUAACAAGUAACUAGCUAAAAUGUGCCGAGUUGAGUAAUUAACUCUUUAUUUAAUCUCCUAAGACAUUCACAACCUAAUAUAAAAGAAAAUCAUUAAAUCAUUGCUUAUAUUUAGUUAAGAAUACAUUUGUGACGAAAAGUUCAAUACAAUUAAUACCAAAUGUUCAUAUGAAGAACUGAAAAUAGAUAAGAAAAUAGACAAGUAAGUUCAUUUGAACUAACACACGAAUAUCUUUCACGUUUAUGAAUGGAUUUUUCUAAAACUUACAUACAUUUAUUUUUAACAUUAACCAAUUAAUGUGCAAGGCACGUUAACCACACUAGUAGACAUAAAUAAGUGUACAUAUUUUACACUAUUGUAUAUCUUUCUGCAGUCCUAGAAUCUAACUGUCUUUCUGCUGAAAAAUCUCAACUUUCUUGAUGGAAACUACUGGGUUUUCUUCUCCGAGACCAGAUGCUUUUCCGACACGUCUUAGGGUUCUUGUUGUUGAUGAUGAUCCCACCUGGUUGAAGAUUCUUGAGAAGAUGCUCAAGAAGUGUUCGUAUCAAGGUUCUCUUAGAAUAAAUUUAUCAAUUUUUUUUAGUGAUUCUAAUAUUAUUUUUAUUGCAUGGUUUAUCAGUGCAAUUAUCUUCUUUUUUCAUGUGGUCAAUUAUCUUCUUGACAUAUUAGUUCAUAGUUAAUUUUCACUUUUUUGUUCUUUUGAUUUUUGGAGGGAUUUUAUUUUUGUGUUAUACAGAGGUUUUGAGUUGGUUUGUGGGACAUUUUAUCUGAGAUUUUUAUUUUUUUUAUGUUUGGUAUUUUGCAAGAAAAAUAUGCUAAAAUCUUAUUUAUUAUAUUGUCUUGUCCUAUCCAGUACUAUAUACUGAAAAACAGUUCACAUACUAAUUUUUUGUGAGAGCUUGAAGUCUGCAACUAUGACUUGCUUGGUUUUGGAAUUGAAUUUUCAUUUUUUUCCCCUUUUUUUUAUGUGUUUUCGCUCAAAAGUUAUAUAUCUUGGUUAUAGUAUGAUGGUUCCUGGUGAAGUUCAGUGAUGAGAUAUAAAGUUUUGAGUUUAAUCCUUGUGCAAUUGUGUAAUGAUACCAAAUGUAUGCCUUAUUGAUUUGUUGAUUUAAUUUGAAAAAGAAAGUUUCCAUAUCUCUUUCCAAUUUUGUCUCGAUUAGUUCACAAUAUUGAAUAACAGAUUUUUCCAUUCGGUUUCCUUUUUCCUUUAGUUUCACAAUUUUGUUCCCUUUUUUGUCAACCCUAAGCUCACCCGCUCCCUCAACUUCUAAUGUACAGAAUCUCGAACUGGAAUUCUGUACAACCCAGCAGUGACCACCCAGAAGUCAAAGCACCGCCGACGAGGACCACCGAUUUUUUGACACGGUUUGCCUUUUCCUUUAGUUUCGAAUUUUUUUUUUUAGUUUUCUAUAUUUUUUCGUUCAGUCAAUCACAAAUUAAAGAGGACAAUGUUGCAAGUUGAUAUUCAUGUUCCGAACUAAGAGGAAAUAUUUGUUGUUGCUUUUGACAGUGAAAAGAUACUCAAUAUCUAGUGCCACUAUUCUUUUCAAGUUUCACUGCGCGUAAUGAAUAUCCAAGGUUUACGCUUUUGUCUUCUCUCUGUCCAAUUCUAAAUUCUGUUUUUGGCGAGAAAUAAAAAAACUUAACCGAAUUAUGGGGAAGAUAACGAGGUUGAUUACUGGUGGGGUGCAGUACAAUGAAGUGGGUGUUGGUUUAUGUGAAUUUUUUUUUUGUUAUGAGACAUUGGAUGCACAAUCUUCUCUCCUGUCCAAUUCCAAAAUUCAAUUGUUGUGUUAUGAGACAUUGGAUUGGUUUCCUAAUUAAUUAAUGGUAUAUUUUAUCACGUGAUUGUGAAUUUCUGAGACGAGCAAGAUUGAACUUGGGAAAAAAGAUGAUGCAGUUUCUACACUUGUGUCUUUUGACUUUUCUCCUAUCCAAUUCCAAAUUCAUUUUUGGCGUUACGAGACAUUGUAUGCAUAAUGUUAACCUCUGUCGAAAGUCCUAUUCCGAAU
This 2689-nucleotide long non-coding RNA is filed under the name Olea europaea subsp. europaea. The record is from RNAcentral. Lineage: Eukaryota; Viridiplantae; Streptophyta; Magnoliopsida; Lamiales; Oleaceae.